UCCUCUUUACAGAGGCAGUUUGUUCCGAGUCCCCGACUUUACUCGCUGGUAACAGAACAUGAGGGUUGCGCUCGUUGCGGGACUUAACCCAACAUUUCACAACACGAGCUGACGACAGCCAUGCACCACCUGUGUAUCACCCUCGAAGGCGACUACUUUUCGGCAGCUUGCAGAUACAUGUCAAGCCCUGGUAAGGUUUUUCGCGUUGCAUCGAAUUAAACCACAUGCUCCACCGCUUGUGCAGGCCCCCGUCAAUUCCUUUGAGUUUUAAUCUUGCGACCGUACUCCCCAGGCGGAUAACUUAAUGCGUUAGCUGCGCCACCCAGGCACCAAGUGCCCGGACAGCUAGUUAUCAUCGUUUACGGCAUGGACUAC
RNAcentral lists this unclassified non-coding RNA (375 nucleotides) under uncultured bacterium. RNAcentral describes it as "contains 16S-23S intergenic spacer region". The record is from RNAcentral.